ACCACAACGGGUGGAGCUUGCGGUUUAAUUGGAUUCAACGCCGGAAAUCUUACCGGGACCGACAGCAAUAUGAAGGCCAGGCUGAAGACUUUGCCGGAUUAGCUGAGAGGUGGUGCAUGGCCGUCGUCAGUUCGUACUGUGAAGCAUCCUGUUAAGUCAGGCAACGAGCGAGACCCACGCCCACAGUUGCCAGCUCGUCCUCCGGGAUGGUGGGGACACUGUUGGGACCGGCCUCUGCUAAAGAGAGGAAGGAAAUGGGCAACGGUAGGUCAGCAUGCCCCGAAUUAUCUGGGCUACACGCGGGCUACAAUGGGUGGGACAAUGGGUAUCGACACCGAAAGGUGAAGGCAAUCUCCUAAACCCAUCCGUAGUUCGGAUUGUGGGCUGCAACUCGCCCACAUGAAGCUGGAAUCUGUAGUAAUCGUGUCUCAAAAUGGCACGGUGAAUAUGUCCCUGCUCCUU
RNAcentral lists this ribosomal RNA (462 nucleotides) under uncultured Methanomicrobiales archaeon. RNAcentral describes it as "bacterial SSU rRNA". It matches the Rfam family "Archaeal small subunit ribosomal RNA", at positions 878 to 1338 of the family's 1478-position model. The record is from RNAcentral. Lineage: Archaea; Methanobacteriati; Methanobacteriota; Methanomicrobia; Methanomicrobiales.